RNAcentral lists this ribosomal RNA (253 nucleotides) under uncultured bacterium. RNAcentral describes it as "partial 16S ribosomal RNA". It matches the Rfam family "Bacterial small subunit ribosomal RNA", at positions 524 to 776 of the family's 1533-position model. The record is from RNAcentral.
UACGUAGGGUGCAGGCGUUAAUCGGAAUUACUGGGCGUAAAGCGUGCGCAGGCGGUCUGCUAAGACAGGUGUGAAAUCCCCGGGCUUAACCUGGGAACUGCGCUUGUAACUGGCAGGCUGGAGUGUGGCAGAGGGGGGUGGAAUUCCACGUGUAGCAGUGAAAUGCGUAGAGAUGUGGAGGAACACCGAUGGCGAAGGCAGCCCCCUGGGCUAACACUGACGCUCAUGCACGAAAGCGUGGGGAGCAAACAGG